This 253-nucleotide ribosomal RNA is filed under the name uncultured bacterium. RNAcentral describes it as "partial 16S ribosomal RNA". It matches the Rfam family "Bacterial small subunit ribosomal RNA", at positions 524 to 776 of the family's 1533-position model. The record is from RNAcentral.
UACGGAGGGUGCGAGCGUUAUCCGGAAUUACUGGGUUUAAAGGGUGCGUAGGCGGCCAGGUAAGUCAGGAGUGAAAGUUUGCGGCUCAACCGUAAAAUUGCUUUUGAUACUGCCAGGCUAGAAUUAGGAUGAGGUCAGCGGAAUGUGGCAUGUAGCGGUGAAAUGCAUAGAUAUGCCAUAGAGCACCAAUUGCGAAGGCAGCUGGCUAGACCUGGAUUGACGCUGAGGCACGAAAGCGUGGGGAGCGAACAGG